AACCUCCGCAAUGUGAGAAAUCGCGACGGGGGGAUCCCAAGUGCCAUUCUUAACGGGAUGGCUUUUCUUAAGUGUAAAAAGCUUUUGGAAUAAGAGCUGGGCAAGACCGGUGCCAGCCGCCGCGGUAACACCGGCAGCUCUAGUGGUAGCUGUUUUUAUUGGGCCUAAAGCGUUCGUAGCCGGUUUGAUAAGUCUUUGGUGAAAGCUUGUAGCUUAACUAUAAGAAUUGCUGGAGAUACUAUCAGACUUGAAGUCGGGAGAGGUUAGAGGUACUACCGGGGUAGGGGUGAAAUCCUAUAAUCCUGGAGGACCACCUGUGGCGAAGGCGUCUAACUGGAACGAUCUUGACGGUGAGUAACGAAAGCCAGGGGCGCGAACCGGAUUAGAUACCCGGGUAGUCCUGGCCGUAAACGAUGUGGACUUGGUGUUGGAAUGGCUUUGAGUUGUUCCGGUGCCGAAGGGAAGCUGUUAAGUCCACCGCCUGGGAAGUACGGUCGCAAGACUGAAACUUAAAGGAAGU
RNAcentral lists this ribosomal RNA (520 nucleotides) under uncultured bacterium. Its description in RNAcentral is "bacterial SSU rRNA". It matches the Rfam family "Archaeal small subunit ribosomal RNA", at positions 345 to 866 of the family's 1478-position model. The record is from RNAcentral.